CCGGAUUUAUUGGGCGUAAAGCGAGCGCAGGCGGUCAAUUAAGUCUGAUGUGAAAGCCCCCGGCUCAACCGGGGAGGGUCAUUGGAAACUGGUUGACUUGAGUGCAGAAGAGGAGAGUGGAAUUCCAUGUGUAGCGGUGAAAUGCGUAGAUAUAUGGAGGAACACCAGUGGCGAAGGCGACUCUCUGGUCUGUAACUGACGCUGAGGCUCGAAAGCGUGGGGAGCGAACAGGAUUAGAUACCCUGGUAGUCCACGCCGUAAACGAUGAGUGCUAGGUGUUAGGUCCUUUCCGGGACUUAGUGCCGCAGCUAACGCAUUAAGCACUCCGCCUGGGGAGUACGACCGCAAGGUUGAAACUCAAAGGAAUUGACGGGGGCCCGCACAAGCGGUGGAGCAUGUGGUUUAAUUCGAAGCAACGCGAAGAACCUUACCAGGUCUUGACAUCCCGAUGCCCGCUCUAGAGAUAGAGCUUUACUUCGGUACAUCGGUGACAGGUGGUGCAUGGUUGUCGUCAGCUCGUGUCGUGAGAAG
This 531-nucleotide ribosomal RNA is filed under the name uncultured bacterium. RNAcentral's name for it is "bacterial SSU rRNA". It matches the Rfam family "Bacterial small subunit ribosomal RNA", at positions 545 to 1074 of the family's 1533-position model. The record is from RNAcentral.